Molecule: ribosomal RNA, 607 nt
Filed under: uncultured bacterium
Lineage: Bacteria
Description: bacterial SSU rRNA
Rfam family: Bacterial small subunit ribosomal RNA
Source: RNAcentral
UCCAGACUCCUACGGGAGGCAGCAGUAGGGAAUCUUCGGCAAUGGACGAAAGUCUGACCGAGCAACGCCGCGUGAGUGAAGAAGGUUUUCGGAUCGUAAAACUCUGUUGGUAGAGAAGAACGUUGGUGAGAGUGGAAAGCUCAUCAAGUGACGGUAACUACCCAGAAAGGGACGGCUAACUACGUGCCAGCAGCCGCGGUAAUACGUAGGUCCCGAGCGUUGUCCGGAUUUAUUGGGCGUAAAGCGAGCGCAGGUGGUUUAUUAAGUCUGGUGUAAAAGGCAGUGGCUCAACCAUUGUAUGCAUUGGAAACUGGUAGACUUGAGUGCAGGAGAGGAGAGUGGAAUUCCAUGUGUAGCGGUGAAAUGCGUAGAUAUAUGGAGGAACACCGGUGGCGAAAGCGGCUCUCUGGCCUGUAACUGACACUGAGGCUCGAAAGCGUGGGGAGCAAACAGGAUUAGAUACCCUGGUAGUCCACGCCGUAAACGAUGAGUGCUAGAUGUAGGGAGCUAUAAGUUCUCUGUAUCGCAGCUAACGCAAUAAGCACUCCGCCUGGGGAGUACGACCGCAAGGUUGAAACUCAAAGGAAUUGACGGGGGCCCGCACAAG